UGAACGCUGGCGGCAUGCCUUACACAUGCCCGUCGAACGGCAGCACGGGUGCUUGCACCUGGUGGCGAGUGGCGAACGGGUGAGUAAUACAUCGGAACAUGUCCUGUAGUGGGGGAUAGCCCGGCGAAAGCCGGAUUAAUACCGCAUACGAUCUACGGAUGAAAGCGGGGGACCUUCGGGCCUCGCGCUAUAGGGUUGGCCGAUGGCUGAUUAGCUAGUUGGUGGGGUAAAGGCCUACCAAGGCGACGAUCAGUAGCUGGUCUGAGAGGACGACCAGCCACACUGGGACUGAGACACGGCCCAGACUCCUACGGGAGGCAGCAGUGGGGAAUUUUGGACAAUGGGCGAAAGCCUGAUCCAGCAAUGCCGCGUGUGUGAAGAAGGCCUUCGGGUUGUAAAGCACUUUUGUCCGGAAAGAAAUCCUUGGCCCUAAUACGGUCGGGGGAUGACGGUACCGGAAGAAUAAGCACCGGCUAACUACGUG
Molecule: ribosomal RNA, 484 nt
Filed under: uncultured bacterium
Lineage: Bacteria
Description: partial 16S ribosomal RNA
Rfam family: Bacterial small subunit ribosomal RNA
Source: RNAcentral